Molecule: long non-coding RNA, 883 nt
Filed under: Pan troglodytes (chimpanzee)
Lineage: Eukaryota; Metazoa; Chordata; Mammalia; Primates; Hominidae
Description: long non-coding RNA NONPTRT009397
Source: RNAcentral
CAAAGGCAGGCAAGGAAAUUUGAGGUUGUUGCAUCUGGAAGUAAACAUGUAGCUACUUCUUCUAAUAAAACAGAGCUCUUAGGUGCUCUGACCCUGGAGGAGAGGGAUUUCACUGAGAUGAGAAGGAUGCGUGAUGGGAUCCAUGGGCACUGGAGGCUUAUAUUUCCCUCUCAUGCCAUGCUCAAGUGAUGGGAGGGCAGAGGCAUGAGAGGGUGCUAAGGGACUAAACGCCAUGGCCACAGGAGUCAAGAAGUGCACAGAGGGCAUGGAUGCGUUGGAAAGGGGAGGUGCUGGCCUUUUAAAGAUCAUAUGGCUUGGACAAGGAACAUGCAUGAGAGAAGUAGUGGACUUUUCAUUUCCUGCCCUGGGCCUUGCCAGUGGAGGUAGGACCCCCAGCUCUCUAGAAAAGUAACAUUUAACCUUUUGAGACUCUGAUGAAAGGUACAGGGCCUUCUAGAAAAGUUUACAAACACACAUAGACACAAAAAAAUGCAUAGAAUUUCAUGGGGUUCACAGACAUGUGUCUUAGAUAAAGAAUCCCUGCGCUAUAGCAGGGGAACUGAAGAUUCUGGGUGUUCCAGAAGUGGCACAGAGGGUCCUGGACACAGCUGGUAACAGCAGACUGGGGAUGCAAGAUGCAAGGUGGACAUGGUGGUGGCAGAUGCACUCCCCAAACAGCAGGCCCUUUAUUGUCCUCCUGUUGACUGAAGUGCUCUGAUGGUCAACAUGGACAACAGCCCCAGCUGUUUCUAUAUAAGGAAUACUUAUGAGCUCAAGAUUGCCUCAAAUGGGAGGAAGGAAUUACAGUCUGGGCAGGGAAGGAGGAAGAAAGGAGAUCAAAGAUAACACAAGCGAAUUCCAAUUUGGACAGCUGGGAGUUGAU